Molecule: small RNA, 84 nt
Filed under: Arabidopsis thaliana (thale cress)
Lineage: Eukaryota; Viridiplantae; Streptophyta; Magnoliopsida; Brassicales; Brassicaceae
Description: ATSL155000
Source: RNAcentral
UAAAAUUUACAAGGAUUUUUAAAAGCAUUUUUUUGGCUAGGAAAAUUUUUUAAGUGUAAAUAUUUUGGCGGGAAAUUUUUUUUU